AGGUAUUAAUAGCCCGGUGGC
Molecule: microRNA, 21 nt
Filed under: Parasteatoda tepidariorum (common house spider)
Lineage: Eukaryota; Metazoa; Arthropoda; Arachnida; Araneae; Theridiidae
Description: pte-miR-35t-5p
Gene: pte-miR-35t-5p
Source: miRBase by way of RNAcentral